UUAAGAAGAGUAUUGCGUACGCAAAGUUUUGGUCUUUGAGGUGAAGAUAGUAUCUUCUUCUUGAA
Molecule: transfer RNA, 65 nt
Filed under: Perna canaliculus (greenshell mussel)
Lineage: Eukaryota; Metazoa; Mollusca; Bivalvia; Mytilida; Mytilidae
Description: tRNA-Gln
Source: RNAcentral